GUUCAGCAUCGCACUUGAGGAGCGUCACAGGCCUUCAUGUUGUUCGUAGAUUCAUUGCCCCUUUAUUUUCUUGAGCAACUGGCUCAAAGGAGAGAGUGAAACUGAGAGAUCGAACUGAGAGCAGUUAAAUCUCUUCAGCAUCUGCUCCCUUCAAUGGGAUCCUCUGGACAGCCCAUCAAUGAGACAGUAACACGGGAGAGUGGAAACCAGCUGCUGUGGAUGCACGCCUGGAAAGCAACAACAAAGAUUGGACUAUUUAACUUAUAAUAACUCAAGUGAAGAAUUGCAGAUUACCCCAGAGAAAUCUUACACAAAACAAGGUCCGUGACCCUGCAAACAUGAGGCAGCUCCCGCACACAUUGCCCCAGACACAUUGCACUCACUACCUUCUGCCUCAGCCACAAGAUGGAUCCAAAAGGUAUCACCAGCAUUUUAGGAUGUGGAGAGUAAAUCUGAGCUCUACCUUCCACACAAGUCACCCUGAAGAUUUUUGAAUCCCUGGCCAUAUUUGUGGAAUACAGACUAAGAGAGAUAUUCAGUAAAACAAUAAUCACAAAACUAGACUUUUGACUAUGGAAAACCAUUCCACCUUAUCACUUGUCCCACGUAAAUUUCUAUAGAACGAACUAAUAUUAACAUAAUUAAUAUUACAUGGAAGGAGAUUAACGAUUUUAGCAGACAAAACUUAAAUGAGAGCAACUAUGGUGACAUCCUUUGAGAAACUGAACUACUCACCUUGAUUUGCUAUGACUUCACUCAUUCCGCUGCCAGUUACUGUCUGCAGAAAAGCAAAGUAACUCCUCCGUAACAUUUGUUUUUCUAAAGCAGCAGAC
Molecule: long non-coding RNA, 833 nt
Organism: Coturnix japonica (Japanese quail)
Lineage: Eukaryota; Metazoa; Chordata; Aves; Galliformes; Phasianidae
Source: RefSeq, a predicted model, not a curated record